Molecule: non-coding RNA, 112 nt
Filed under: Otolemur garnettii (small-eared galago)
Lineage: Eukaryota; Metazoa; Chordata; Mammalia; Primates; Galagidae
Source: RNAcentral
GGCUGGUCGCCAGGGAGUGAGUUACCUCACCUGAUCGUUCACAGCCGGUCACAGACUGAACUCCUUGUUCUAUUUUUACCCAUCUUCUCACUAAGCACUUGACUAGGUUUAA